UACUUUCAUGGCUAAGGAGUCUCCUCAAGGGGAACUUGUUGAGUAUCAAGCCAAGGCUGAGCGUAAGCCAUGGCAAAGAAAUAUUCAUCCCAUCUUUUGCAGACCUUCUUCAGCUCUUAAAAAAGACUGAUGGUGUCGUUGAGCGCUCCCAAUUCCCCAGCCCCCAGGCCAGGUGGAUUAAGUAGUUUGAUGAAAUAUUUAACCUUCUGGAAGAUUUCAUAUUUUUAUAAUUUAGAACUCUACUUAUGUCUGUCUCUGUAAGGUUUGUAAUGACUGGGUGAUUAAUUAUUUAAAAGCAGUAAAGACACUUUUUUUAUUUAUUUA
Non-coding RNA from Camelina sativa (false flax), 324 nucleotides. The record is from RefSeq and is a predicted model, not a curated record. NCBI's taxonomy places the organism in Eukaryota, Viridiplantae, Streptophyta, Magnoliopsida, Brassicales, Brassicaceae.